Molecule: RNA transcript, 1831 nt
Organism: Galeopterus variegatus (Sunda flying lemur)
Lineage: Eukaryota; Metazoa; Chordata; Mammalia; Dermoptera; Cynocephalidae
Gene name: voltage-dependent anion-selective channel protein 3 pseudogene
Exons: 1
Source: RefSeq, a predicted model, not a curated record
AUGACCGGUGCGCUCGCCUUUGUGAGGGAUCCUGGAAGCAGCAGUCAGACCACUGACCACCCUGAGAGGCCGCCGGGCGUGAAUAUUUUCCAUCUUUCCGUGCUCUCUUCUUCUUGUGCAGGAGGGAAACUUACCUUCACCCAAAAAUGGAACACAGACAAUACUCUUGGGACAAAAAUCUCUUGGGAGAAUAAGUUGGCUGAAGGGUUGAAACUGACUCUUGAUACCAUAUUUGUACCGAAUACAGGAAAGAAGAGUGGGAAAUUGAAGGCCUCCUAUAGAAGGGAUUGUUUCAGUCUUGGCAGUAACGUUGAUAUAGAUUUUGCAGAACCAACCAUCUAUGGUUGGGCUGUGUUGGCCUUUGAAGGUUGGCUUGCAGGAUAUCAGAUGAGUUUUGACACGGCCAAAUCCAAACUGUCACAGAAUAAUUUUGCCCUGGGUUACAAGGCUGCAGACUUCCAGCUGCACACUCAUGUGAAUGAUGGCACUGAAUUUGGAGGUUCUAUCUACCAGAAGGUGAAUGAGAAGAUUGAAACGUCAAUAAACCUUGCUUGGACUGCUGGCAGUAACAACACCCGUUUUGGCAUUGCUGCUAAAUACAAGCUGGACUGUAGAACUUCUCUAUCUGCUAAAGUAAGUAAUGCCAGCCUGAUUGGACUGGGUUAUACUCAGACCCUUCGACCAGGAGUCAAACUGACCUUAUCAGCUUUAAUUGAUGGAAAGAACUUCAAUGCAGGAGGCCACAAAGUUGGGUUGGGAUUUGAACUGGAAGCUUAAUGUGGUUUUGAGUAAAGCAUCAGGUUUGUCCCUGGAAGUGAAGAGAAAUGAACCCACUGUUUUAGCCUUAAAAUUCUUUUGUGAAAUUUCAAAAGUGUGAACUUUUUAUUCUUCCAAAGAAUUGUAAUCCUCCCCACACUGAAGUCUAGAGAUUGCAGGUCCAUCCUAAGGGAGGUACUUGAAGGCAUGCCUGGAAGUUGUCAUGUUUGUGCCACAUUUCAGUUCAGUUCUGCAGUGUUAAUUUAAGUGUGUUCCUCAGCAACAAUGUAGUGUCAUGUUAAAGGAAACAACCCGACCCUCCAGUUGUACAUCACGUCCUGCAUGUCCCACACCUUUUUCAUGACCUUUUAAUAUAUUGGUCUCUGUGCUGUAGUGGAAUCUUUGGUUUUGCAUCAGAGUAAAAUAAAAUAAACCCAUCACAUUUGGAACAUAAUUGCUCAUCUGACAUGCUAGAGGUGGUCUUAUAUUUGAUGUGGUUUGUUCUGAGACUUACUUUCAUAGAUAGGAUUUGUGUUUAAAGUGGUGUCUAAAAUGUCUGUGCUGCUGCCCGUCCUUUCCAGUUCGUUUCCCUCAUUCUUACUGCUCCCAUGGAUCAGGCUGAGGGCAGAACAGUGCUUUGUUCUGCUGGGGAGAAGCACAUCUGCUGAGACCCUCCUUCCUAUUGCGUUGUGAGAGGGCAGUAUCAUCUUGGUAGGUUUGUAAAGGUAUGAGAAAGAGUGAGCAGUGGAAGACAGAGGGAAGAGUGUAAGUGGAGGAAACAGGGCAGGGACGAGAGUUGACAGGAGGCCAGAGCUGGAGGAGCAUGCGGCUGUGGCUCCUCCUGCCUUCAGAAAAGUAUUUUUGGUUCCACUCAAAGUAACCAAAGAGUGGAAGUAUCAGUUUCAAAAAGAAUUGAGUAGACUGUCAUAUCCUCUGGGCUUACUGGUAAACCGUCUUUCUAAAAGUAGGCCGCUUUUAAAAAUCUCUUUCUCUUUUUUUAAUACAGGAGUAAUUAAUAUAUGCUGGUUGCAACAAAAAAGUUUAGAAGUAAAUUAAAUGAAAGUGAAAAUUCCCA